Non-coding RNA from Acanthosepion pharaonis, 112 nucleotides. The record is from the annotation of a GenBank genome assembly. NCBI's taxonomy places the organism in Eukaryota, Metazoa, Mollusca, Cephalopoda, Sepiida, Sepiidae.
UACAGUCACAUCAUGUCGAAACACUUUUUCUCAUAUGAUCACUGAAGUUGAGCAAUGUUGAGCUUGGUCAGUACCGAGAUGAGUGACCACUUGGGAAUACCAGAUGCUGUAA